This 437-nucleotide ribosomal RNA is filed under the name uncultured bacterium. RNAcentral describes it as "bacterial SSU rRNA". It matches the Rfam family "Bacterial small subunit ribosomal RNA", at positions 393 to 816 of the family's 1533-position model. The record is from RNAcentral.
AACGCCGCGUGUGUGAUGAAGGGCCUUCGGGUCGUAAAGCACUGUGGAGGUGGAACGAGCCGCCGGGGGGCUAAAUACCCCUUCGGCCCCGACGGUACCACCAGAGGAAGCACCGGCUAACCCUGUGCCAGCAGCCGCGGUAAUACAGGGGGUGCAAGCGUUGUUCGGAAUUAUUGGGCGUAAAGCGCGUGUAGGCGGACCAUUAAGUCUGGUGUGAAAUCCCUCGGCUUAACCGAGGACGUGCAUUGGAUACUGGUGGUCUUGAGUCCUGGAGAGGGGUAGCGGAAUUCCCAGUGUAGAGGUGAAAUUCGUAGAUAUUGGGAGGAACACCGGUGGCGAAGGCGGCUACCUGGACAGUGACUGACGCUGAGACGCGAAAGCAUGGGUAGCAAACAGGAUUAGAUACCCUGGUAGUCCAUGCCGUAAACGAUGGGUGC